RNAcentral lists this transfer-messenger RNA (355 nucleotides) under Thermomonas carbonis. RNAcentral's name for it is "Standard tmRNA". It matches the Rfam family "transfer-messenger RNA". From Rfam's summary of the family: Bacterial tmRNA, also known as 10Sa RNA or SsrA, is named for its dual tRNA and mRNA-like properties. Its role is to liberate the mRNA from a stalled ribosome. Lineage: Bacteria; Pseudomonadati; Pseudomonadota; Gammaproteobacteria; Lysobacterales; Lysobacteraceae. The record is from Rfam by way of RNAcentral.
CGGGGUGCACUGGCUUCGACGGGGGCAGCGAAAUCGCACGGCGCAUGCCGAGGGGGUAGCUUUCCUCGUUAAUCCAGCUGCAAAAACCCAGACGCCAACGACGACGUCUACGCUCUCGCCGCUUAAGGCGUAAGCCCCGAACCCACUUGUGCCCGUGCUCGUGGAUGUAGGGUCAUUAUCACGGAACCGGCCCUGGCGGCGACCCGCCAACCAGUGGCUUAACUCUAGCGGGUGUGUCCUGCGGCGUGCUUCGCACACCGUGUUGUCGCAGGGCGAGACCAAACGGUGAGCUAAGCAUGUAGUGCCGGGCAUGGAGUUCCUUCGGACGGCGGUUCGAUUCCGCCCACCUCCACCA